GGAGUUUGGACCGUCUCUCAGUUCCAAUGUGGCCGAUCACCCUCUCAGGUCGGCUACCCAUCGUCGGUUUGGUGGGCUUUUACCCCGCCAACUGCCUAAUGGGACGCGAGUCCAUCUUCUGCCGGAUUUCUCCUUUGACCCCUCUGCCAUGCGGCAAUGUGGUCUUAUGCGGUAUUACCGUCCCUUUCGAAACGCUAUCCCCCUGCAAAAGCCAGGUUCCUCACGCGUUACUCACCCGUUCGCCACUGACACCGAAGUGCCCGUUCGACUUGCAUGUGUUAAGCACGCCGCCAGCGUUCGUCCUCGAGCCAUGAUCAAACUACU
Molecule: ribosomal RNA, 324 nt
Filed under: uncultured Coriobacteriales bacterium
Lineage: Bacteria; Bacillati; Actinomycetota; Coriobacteriia; Coriobacteriales
Description: partial 16S ribosomal RNA
Source: RNAcentral